This 478-nucleotide ribosomal RNA is filed under the name uncultured bacterium. RNAcentral's name for it is "partial 16S ribosomal RNA". It matches the Rfam family "Bacterial small subunit ribosomal RNA", at positions 28 to 507 of the family's 1533-position model. The record is from RNAcentral.
GAUGAACGCUGGCGGCGUGCUUAACACAUGCAAGUCGAACGAGAAGUGAAGACGGAAACCUUCGGGCGGAAGGCUUUAUUUCGAGUGGCGGACGGGUGAGUAACGCGUGGGUAACCUGCCUCAUACAGGGGGAUAACAGUUGGAAACGACUGUUAAUACCGCAUAAGACCACAGCACCGCAUGGUGCGGGGGUAAAAACUCCGGUGGUAUGAGAUGGACCCGCGUUCGAUUAGCCAGUUGGCGGGGUAACGGCCCACCAAAGCGACGAUCGAUAGCCGAUCGGAGAGGAGGACCGGCCACAUUGGGACUGAGACACGGACCAAAAUCCUACGGGAGGCAGCAGUGGGGAAUAUUGCACAAUGGGGGAAACCCUGAUGCAGCGACGCCGCGUGAGUGAAGAAGUAUUUCGGUAUGUAAAGCUCUAUCAGCAGGGAAGAAAAUGACGGUACCUGAGAAAGAAGCCCCGGCUAACUACGUG